UGGGGAAUAUUGGGGCAAUGGGGGCGCAAGCCUGACCCAGCAACGCCGCGUGAAGGAAGAAGGCUUUCGGGUUGUAAACUUCUUUUAAGAGGGAAGAGCAGAAGACUGUACCUCUAGAAUAAGCCACGGCUAACUACGUGCCAGCAGCCGCGGUAAUACGGAGGGUGCAAGCGUUAUCCGGAUUUAUUGGGUUUAAAGGGUGCGUAGGCUGUAAGUCAAGUCAGCGGUGAAAAGUCGGGGCUAAACCUUGAGGGUGCCGUUGAAACUGACAUACUAGAAUGUGGAUGAUGCCGGCGGAAUGUGUCAAGUAGCGGUGAAAUGCAUAGAUAUGACACAGAAGGCCGAUUGCGAAGGCAGCUGGCAAAGGCACGAUUGACGCUGAGGCACGAAAGUGCGGGGGAUCGAACAGGAUUAGAUACCCUGGUAGU
Molecule: ribosomal RNA, 428 nt
Filed under: uncultured bacterium
Lineage: Bacteria
Description: bacterial SSU rRNA
Rfam family: Bacterial small subunit ribosomal RNA
Source: RNAcentral